This 2923-nucleotide ribosomal RNA is filed under the name Klebsiella pneumoniae. Its description in RNAcentral is "23S ribosomal RNA". It matches the Rfam family "Bacterial large subunit ribosomal RNA". The record is from RNAcentral. Lineage: Bacteria; Pseudomonadati; Pseudomonadota; Gammaproteobacteria; Enterobacterales; Enterobacteriaceae.
GGGUUGUGAGGUUAAGCGACUAAGCGUACACGGUGGAUGCCCUGGCAGUCAGAGGCGAUGAAGGACGUGCUAAUCUGCGAAAAGCGUCGGUAAGGUGAUAUGAACCGUUAUAACCGGCGAUGUCCGAAUGGGGAAACCCAGUGCAAUUCGUUGCACUAUCGUUAACUGAAUACAUAGGUUAACGAGGCGAACCGGGGGAACUGAAACAUCUAAGUACCCCGAGGAAAAGAAAUCAACCGAGAUUCCCCCAGUAGCGGCGAGCGAACGGGGAGCAGCCCAGAGUCUGAAUCAGCUUGUGUGUUAGUGGAACGGUCUGGAAAGUCCGACGGUACAGGGUGAUAGUCCCGUACACCAAAAUGCACAGGUUGUGAACUCGAAGAGUAGGGCGGGACACGUGGUAUCCUGUCUGAAUAUGGGGGGACCAUCCUCCAAGGCUAAAUACUCCUGACUGACCGAUAGUGAACCAGUACCGUGAGGGAAAGGCGAAAAGAACCCCGGCGAGGGGAGUGAAAAAGAACCUGAAACCGUGUACGUACAAGCAGUGGGAGCACCUUCGGGUGUGACUGCGUACCUUUUGUAUAAUGGGUCAGCGACUUAUAUUCUGUAGCAAGGUUAACCGUAUAGGGGAGCCGCAGGGAAACCGAGUCUUAACUGGGCGUUAAGUUGCAGGGUAUAGACCCGAAACCCGGUGAUCUAGCCAUGGGCAGGUUGAAGGUUGGGUAACACUAACUGGAGGACCGAACCGACUAAUGUUGAAAAAUUAGCGGAUGACUUGUGGCUGGGGGUGAAAGGCCAAUCAAACCGGGAGAUAGCUGGUUCUCCCCGAAAGCUAUUUAGGUAGCGCCUCGUGAAUUCAUCUUCGGGGGUAGAGCACUGUUUCGGCUAGGGGGUCAUCCCGACUUACCAACCCGAUGCAAACUACGAAUACCGAAGAAUGUUAUCACGGGAGACACACGGCGGGUGCUAACGUCCGUCGUGAAGAGGGAAACAACCCAGACCGCCAGCUAAGGUCCCAAAGUCAUGGUUAAGUGGGAAACGAUGUGGGAAGGCACAGACAGCCAGGAUGUUGGCUUAGAAGCAGCCAUCAUUUAAAGAAAGCGUAAUAGCUCACUGGUCGAGUCGGCCUGCGCGGAAGAUGUAACGGGGCUAAACCAUGCACCGAAGCUGCGGCAGCGACACUAUGUGUUGUUGGGUAGGGGAGCGUUCUGUAAGCCUGCGAAGGUGUGCUGUGAGGCAUGCUGGAGGUAUCAGAAGUGCGAAUGCUGACAUAAGUAACGAUAAAGCGGGUGAAAAGCCCGCUCGCCGGAAGACCAAGGGUUCCUGUCCAACGUUAAUCGGGGCAGGGUGAGUCGACCCCUAAGGCGAGGCCGAAAGGCGUAGUCGAUGGGAAACAGGUUAAUAUUCCUGUACUUGGUGUUACUGCGAAGGGGGGACGGAGAAGGCUAUGUUAGCCGGGCGACGGUUGUCCCGGUUUAAGCAUGUAGGCUGGUUAUCCAGGCAAAUCCGGAUAAUCAAGGCUGAGGUGUGAUGACGAGGCACUACGGUGCUGAAGUAACAAAUGCCCUGCUUCCAGGAAAAGCCUCUAAGCAUCAGGUAACAUCAAAUCGUACCCCAAACCGACACAGGUGGUCAGGUAGAGAAUACCAAGGCGCUUGAGAGAACUCGGGUGAAGGAACUAGGCAAAAUGGUGCCGUAACUUCGGGAGAAGGCACGCUGGUGUGUAGGUGAAGCCCCUGCGGGUGGAGCUGAGACCAGUCGAAGAUACCAGCUGGCUGCAACUGUUUAUUAAAAACACAGCACUGUGCAAACACGAAAGUGGACGUAUACGGUGUGACGCCUGCCCGGUGCCGGAAGGUUAAUUGAUGGGGUUAUCCGUAAGGAGAAGCUCUUGAUCGAAGCCCCGGUAAACGGCGGCCGUAACUAUAACGGUCCUAAGGUAGCGAAAUUCCUUGUCGGGUAAGUUCCGACCUGCACGAAUGGCGUAAUGAUGGCCAGGCUGUCUCCACCCGAGACUCAGUGAAAUUGAACUCGCUGUGAAGAUGCAGUGUACCCGCGGCAAGACGGAAAGACCCCGUGAACCUUUACUAUAGCUUGACACUGAACAUUGAGCCUUGAUGUGUAGGAUAGGUGGGAGGCUUUGAAGCGUGGACGCCAGUCUGCGUGGAGCCAACCUUGAAAUACCACCCUUUAAUGUUUGAUGUUCUAACGUUGGCCCCUGACCGGGGUUGCGGACAGUGUCUGGUGGGUAGUUUGACUGGGGCGGUCUCCUCCCAAAGCGUAACGGAGGAGCACGAAGGUUAGCUAAUCCUGGUCGGACAUCAGGAGGUUAGUGCAAUGGCAUAAGCUAGCUUGACUGCGAGCGUGACGGCGCGAGCAGGUGCGAAAGCAGGUCAUAGUGAUCCGGUGGUUCUGAAUGGAAGGGCCAUCGCUCAACGGAUAAAAGGUACUCCGGGGAUAACAGGCUGAUACCGCCCAAGAGUUCAUAUCGACGGCGGUGUUUGGCACCUCGAUGUCGGCUCAUCACAUCCUGGGGCUGAAGUAGGUCCCAAGGGUAUGGCUGUUCGCCAUUUAAAGUGGUACGCGAGCUGGGUUUAGAACGUCGUGAGACAGUUCGGUCCCUAUCUGCCGUGGGCGCUGGAGAAUUGAGGGGGGCUGCUCCUAGUACGAGAGGACCGGAGUGGACGCAUCACUGGUGUUCGGGUUGUCAUGCCAAUGGCACUGCCCGGUAGCUAAAUGCGGAAGAGAUAAGUGCUGAAAGCAUCUAAGCACGAAACUUGCCCCGAGAUGAGUUCUCCCUGAGACUUUAAGUCUCCUGAAGGAACGUUGAAGACGACGACGUUGAUAGGCCGGGUGUGUAAGCGCAGCGAUGCGUUGAGCUAACCGGUACUAAUGAACCGUGAGGCUUAACCUUACAACGCCGAAG